This 585-nucleotide ribosomal RNA is filed under the name uncultured bacterium. RNAcentral describes it as "bacterial SSU rRNA". It matches the Rfam family "Bacterial small subunit ribosomal RNA", at positions 338 to 916 of the family's 1533-position model. The record is from RNAcentral.
CCUACGGGAGGCAGCAGUGGGGAAUUUUGGACAAUGGGCGCAAGCCUGAUCCAGCAAUGCCGCGUGAGUGAAGAAGGCCUUCGGGUUGUAAAGCUCUUUUGUCAGGGAAGAAACGGUGGUUCCUAAUACGAGCCACUAAUGACGGUACCUGAAGAAUAAGCACCGGCUAACUACGUGCCAGCAGCCGCGGUAAUACGUAGGGUGCAAGCGUUAAUCGGAAUUACUGGGCGUAAAGCGUGCGCAGGCGGUUUGGUAAGAAAGAUGUGAAAUCCCCGGGCUCAACCUGGGAAUUGCAUUUUUGACUGCCCGGCUAGAGUGUGUCAGAGGGGGGUAGAAUUCCACGUGUAGCAGUGAAAUGCGUAGAUAUGUGGAGGAAUACCGAUGGCGAAGGCAGCCCCCUGGGAUAACACUGACGCUCAUGCACGAAAGCGUGGGGAGCAAACAGGAUUAGAUACCCUGGUAGUCCACGCCCUAAACGAUGUCUACUAGUUGUCGGGUCUUAAUUGACUUGGUAACGCAGCUAACGCGUGAAGUAGACCGCCUGGGGAGUACGGUCGCAAGNUUAAAACUCAAAUGAAUUGACGG